GACGAACGCUGGCGGCGUGCUUAACACAUGCAAGUCGAACGGAAGGGCCCUGCUUUUGUGGGGUGCUCGAGUGGCAAACGGGUGAGUAACACGUGAGUAACCUGCCCUUGACUUUGGGAUAACUUCAGGAAACUGGGGCUAAUACCGGAUAGGAGCUCCUGCUGCAUGGUGGGGGUUGGAAAGUUUCGGCGGUUGGGGAUGGACUCGCGGCUUAUCAGCUUGUUGGUGGGGUAGUGGCUUACCAAGGCUUUGACGGGUAGCCGGCCUGAGAGGGUGACCGGCCACAUUGGGACUGAGAUACGGCCCAGACUCCUACGGGAGGCAGCAGUGGGGAAUAUUGCACAAUGGGCGGAAGCCUGAUGCAGCAACGCCGCGUGCGGGAUGACGGCCUUCGGGUUGUAAACCGCUUUCGCCUGUGACGAAGCGUGAGUGACGGUAAUGGGUAAAGAAGCACCGGCUAACUACGUG
RNAcentral lists this ribosomal RNA (468 nucleotides) under uncultured bacterium. RNAcentral describes it as "partial 16S ribosomal RNA". It matches the Rfam family "Bacterial small subunit ribosomal RNA", at positions 28 to 507 of the family's 1533-position model. The record is from RNAcentral.